RNAcentral lists this microRNA precursor (104 nucleotides) under Marmota monax (woodchuck). Lineage: Eukaryota; Metazoa; Chordata; Mammalia; Rodentia; Sciuridae. The record is from RNAcentral.
AGUGGAACUGCUGGGUCAUAUAUGGUGACUCUUGAUUUACCUUUUUAGGGACCUGUCUGCUGUUUUCCAAAGUGACUGAACCAUUUUACAUUCCCAGUGACAAU